RNAcentral lists this long non-coding RNA (24972 nucleotides) under Triticum aestivum (bread wheat). Its description in RNAcentral is "long non-coding RNA (TAES_LNC026730)". The record is from RNAcentral. Lineage: Eukaryota; Viridiplantae; Streptophyta; Magnoliopsida; Poales; Poaceae.
UUUUUUUUUUUUUGUGAAUUCUAUUGUUCAGAUGUUCUUAGAAUUGAGAACUGAUUUGAAGACCCUUUCACGGUGUUGACGUUCAACUAACACAUGCAAAUGAGCAAUGCUACACCUAUGACUAUUAAGUCUUACAGGAUUUAUGUAAGGGCAAUUCCAACGCGCCGACUCAGACGGAUGCGAAAUUUGUCUGCUCUUUUGUUCGUAAUGGUUAGCCGACCAGAAGCACAUGUCCGUUUUUUUAUUUGGGUCGACCGUGCACCCAACACGACAGACGCAUAGUCCGUGUGGUCUUAAGGAAAUGAAGCACCCAUAAAAUAUUUAAAUUUAAAACAUAAUUAAAUGUUAAAAUUUAAAUCGACAGCGGCCAGAGUCCACUUCACAUAUAAUUAAACAUUAAUAAAAACUAAAAAAAUCCACCUUCCAGCCACCCCAGCCCGCAGCCCUAGGCAUCGCCCUCAUCGUCGGGCCGGCUAGGUCGAAGAAGGGCGACGGUGGCGGAGCCCGCCGGAAGGCCUGUUGGUACUUGGCCAGCGCCUCCUGCUCCGGCGUCUGCUGUGUGGCACGUGCUCCUCCUACUUACGCUCCAGCUGCAAGUGUCGCUUCGCUUCGGCCCGCUCCUUUGCCAGCGGGCCUUCCACUGUUGGAAGUAGGUCGUCUCCUGCUCCUCGAUCGCGCCCAGCCAGAUGGGCGGCGUGUUGACCCACUCCCGCGCGACGCAAAUCCCACUGGUACCUCUCCGUUGGGGCGAGUGGUGCUUUCAUGGGCUCCGUGGGCUCGUGCUUGGGCGUCACGGGUGCAGUCAGUGACGGUGGCGGUGGAGGGUAGACAUAGUCCCCCCUCCCCCUCCCCCGCCAUUGAGAGCUGGAGCACCUCCUCGAGGCCAGGCCACCCGAUACAAGACCGCGUUGGAUGACAAAAUACGUCCGGACCACGCAGUUCAGACGAUUGCAGGCUGUUUGAGUGUCUGCAUUGGAGAUGCCCUUAGGCACCCUCAUUUUGUGCCUCCUUUUCAAUAUUCUUUUAUUCAUAGUGUAAUUUCUUUUCAGAUCGCUGCUAUUUUGCGUGUAAGCUGGCAUGCAUGUUGUCCGCAAAAAUCGCAUGCUAUAUAUGCUCCCCAAGGACUUUGAGGAGGGUUACCGGACCAAUGUCAAGAAUCAUUAAAUACGCUUUGAUUUCUGCAAAUAAGGCAACCAAGUGCUACUAAAGCUCGUACGCAACAGUGAUGCACCGCAACUUGGCAGACGUGUCGUGGUUAAUCAAAAAUUCUUGUGAUGAAACAUAACAUGUUUACAGUGUCUGGAUCAAGUAGAGAGAUCUAUUGCAAGUUGUUGUUAUGUAAAGCGUUUCUGACUGUAACAUGAUCAUGAACAACUAUGAUUUUGUUUUCCCCGCAAAAAAAAAAAAAACUAUGAUUUUGUUUGUGUGACAGACACAAGGAAGGAGGACGCCGCUUCUGCUUUCACUAUGUCUCCUUGUAUAGUUGCCAUAGACUAUAGAGGCACGGUUGUAUCUUAGUAGGUGAUCGACCGAUUCUUGCAUGAGUCUAUUUGGAUGAAGUGUACAUCUUGCAUUUGACUAUAGUGCUUUUUCCCAACAAAGAUUGUGCAUUUAUUUACACUUAACAAAUACGUGACACACAUGAACAACUAACCUCAAAAGCAGAUUGUUUGAAUUUGACAACCGCCUGCCUAAGCUGCAAGAGGCCCUUUGGUUAUGCUACUCUGAGAAAGCUAUAGUUAACAUUCAUCAAGUCUACAUACUUAGAUUUCACUGAUACCUUUCUUUCUCAUCGCCGUGACUGACGGUCAUUAAACGAUGCACCAACUUGAUCCAGCUCAUCAAUUUAUCACUGAACAACGACCGCCAGGAAAAUAACCAAUGUGGUAGAGUAGGAGGGAUAGGCACGCGAGCUAUAUCGUGUAGCGAUUCUUGUAAUUCGCUGAUCAUCGGUAGUUCCUGGUGCCUCAUAUGCCUACACCUAUCAUUUCAAAUCCCUAGUGUGUAGCUACCACUGGUAGUUCCUUGUGCCUCAAACCCGUGGUGUGCAUACAUCAAAAAGCACGAUUUUUAAAAUGAAUAGGUCCACUAUAAGGAAAUGAGAUGAUGAACAAUAUGUUCAUGCAUAGCUUAGGGAAGCCUCGUUUCUUAUAAAAGACGUGGAUACAUGGUAGUGGUAGUGACAUGAAUUCACUGGUUCUUUGUUUGGUAAAUAGCUAAGAUUUCCUUGGUUAUGAGCUUGAUUCAUGGUAGGUAACAGCUUAUGAGAUAUUAAAACAAAGGCUUGGUUUGUUGUGCUCUUUUCACCUUUAUACGUUAGAGAGAAGAGAACUUUAAACAAAUGAUGGGUUUUUCGAGCUUCUUUGUCCUUGGGUAGGUACGAGUAUGUGAGAUCUUAAAACAAAAGAUGAAUUAGUUGUGAAUGGUCCUCCUCGGUAGGCUAGAGACAACGAGAACUUUAAAAACAAUUAAAUUUCUGGAUUUGUCUGUCCUUCGGUAGGCUAGCCUAUUCAACUGGGAAAGCUUUAAACAAACAAUAAAUUUCCUAAACUUUUUUAUAAAGCAUUGACCUUCAAUUUCUACAGACACAGCCAGCCAGCAUAAAAGGGCUAACCCUCCAUCCUCGAUGAGAAAAAGCGAGUUGGGCAAGUAGAACCAGACUUACCCAGUUGUUAGCAUCUACUCACUCGAAUUGCCAGUACUUCCACCGUGUUAAUUAGACUAUCCAUCAUCUCGACCGAAUAAACCAUGAGUUUAUUUGCCUUGAGGAUGUCUUCCUAAUUAUUAGUAUAUGCGAAAAAUUAUUGUACCAUACAUCGAACAAUGUGUUUUUACAUAGUUUAACAGAAUGUUGGAACAUCACAGAAGAUGCCUCCUUCUCUUUGUUGUUCAAUCUUUAUACACCUACCAGCCACCAUGGUUCGAUGGGGCCACGGAGUGCAGCUCAUGCUUAACAGAGUUGUACUGGGGUGUGCGCCCCCAUUCUCAUCCAUGUAACAAUGGAUGACGUUGAGAGACAAAAGUCAUUAUGGAUAAUAUGAGUACUAAACUGACUUGGUUUGGCAAAAAAGAAAAAUAGUGAUCUUUGAACAGGACAUAUCACGUGGACAUUGUGUGCAAGAGCAAGACGGGACUUUGCUCGAAGUGAAAUAAUUCACUAAGACCACGUUUGGAUGUCAGUAUUCAGGCCCAUGGUCACUUUCAACUAACACAUGGCACUGGCUACAAACAGAGCAACUGACCUAAUGAUCUCCAUUGUUGCUGAGUCGACCAGACUCCGAGAAUGGGCACUUGAAUGGUCGGUCCCUCCGUCAUGUGGUGAGGAGGAAUGCUUUGGUCAUGUCGAAAUUCACCGAGCUGCUUGGACCUGGCCGGUCGCAGUCGAAGUGGAAAAGCAGGCUGGCAAGCGGGAGCCCUAGGCUGGCAAGGCCCAACACCAUCCCCAGGAACAUCCUACGGCCGACGCCGAAUGGCAGGAGCGUCAAGUCGGCACCUCGAACUGUUCCGCGCUGUUGCACAAGCAUUUACUCUAGUAGUGUAAUAUCGAGACAAAAACAAUUUUAACUGAAAUCACGUGAGUUAUUUUCAAACGGAGGAGAAACAAAAUCUUAAUUAUAUCCCUAGAAAAACGGGCACGGUCUUCACUUCGAUGGGACACGCAAAUAAAAAGAUUGCCACGGGCCACGAUUUGGAUGAGCAGUAACUGCUUGACCAGUCGUGGGUAGUGCCGCUUCGAUAAGGUUGUCAGGCUAGAAAAGCACUAUUCACACAUAUGCGACCGGCCUUCGAGGCUAAGUAACCCCACGCCUUCGGGAGUUGGGAGAGUUCGGCUAAGCAGUGGUCGAAGAACGCCAUUCCUUUGAAAAAUGGUUUAUAGUAUCCUUUAAAGGGAAGGAAUCUUGAAUUACAAGAGAAGGCGAACUCGUUUGUCGAGCCAAGGACUCCGGGUCGGAAGUUAUUUACACCAAGGAGGUCAUCCUUGGCGUAGAAGACCAGUUCGGGGGCUACUGACGGUGUUCUAGACUAAGGGGUACUAACCUAAUCGGCCCGUAGUCCUCGGGAUGGGCCAGUGGACCCUCAUUCCUAUCAAGGUGGACUCCGGAAGCUGCACGCGUGAAUGCGACCAAGACUACCUCUGUCGAAGACUUGACAUAUACUCCAAGACAUCUCCUGCCGCCUCCAUGCGAUCCCCUGGAUACCGACCAUGUAACCCUAGAUGCCCCACCUGGCAUGUAUAUAAGCCAAGGGAUUUAGCCCAUAGAGGGGACCGAAUCACAACUGCAUUCACCUAGCCCUAGAGUUAGAACACAACUUACGGUCUCGAGGUAGAUCAAGCUUAUACUCGAUACAUCUCCAUCAAUACAAAUAAGAGCAGGAUGUAGGGUUUUACCUCCAUCAAGAGGCCCCGAACCUGGGUAAACAUCAUCUCCCUUGUUCCUGUUACCACAAAUCCGAGAUCCACAACUCGGGACCCCCUACCCCGAGGUUUGCCGGAUUUCACACCGACACCGCGCUUGGUAGGCCAGAGGUGGAGCUGGUCGUCCAUGGCGCCAGAGAUGACCGAUGUGGUGGGUGUCGGGCUGAUGUCUACUACACAACCUUCUUCUUGUAGACGUUGUUGGGCCUCCAAGUACAGAGGUUUGUAGGACAGUAGCAAAUUUCUCUCAAGUGGAUGACCUAAGGUUUAUCAAUCCAUAGGAGGCGUAGGAUGAAGAUGGUCUCUCUCAAGCAACCCUGCAACCAAAUAACAAAGACUCUCUUGUGUCCCCAACACACCCAAUACAAUGGUAAAUUGUAUAGGUGCACUAGUUUGGUGAAGAGAUGGUGAUACAAGUGCAAUAUGGAUAGUAGAGAAUGGUUUUUGUAAUCUAAAAAUAUAAAAACAGCAAGGUAACGAAUGAUAAAAGUGAGCGUAAACGGUAUUGCAAUGCGUUGAAACAAGGCCUAGGGUUCAUAUUUUCACUAGUGCAAGUUCCAUCAACAAUAAUAACAUAAUUGGAUCAUAUAACUAUCCCUCAACAUGCAACAAAGAGUCACUCUCAAGUCACUAAUAGCGGAGAACAAACGAAGAGAUUAUGGUAGGGUACGAAACCACCUCAAAGUUAUCCUUUCUGAUCAAUCUAUUCAAGAGUCCGUAGUAAAAUAACAUGAAGCUAUUCUUUCCGUUCAUCUAUCAUAGAGUUCGUACUAGAAUAAUACCUUAAGACACAAAUCAACCAAAACCCUAAUGUCACCUAGAUACUCCGAUGUCACCUCAAGUAACCGUGGGUAUGAUUAUACGAUAUGCAUCACACAAUCUCAGAUUCAUAUAUUCAAACCAACACAAAGUACUUCAAAGAGUGUCCCAAAGUUUCUACCGGAGAGUCAAGGCGAAAACGUGUGCCAACCCCUAUGCAUAGGUUCAUGGGAGGAACCCGCAAGUUGAUCACCAAAACAUACAUCAAGUGGAUUACAUGAUAUCCCAUUGUCACCACAGAUAAGCACGUGCAAGACAUACAUCAAGUGUUCUCAAAUCCUUAAAGACACAAGCCGAUAAGAUAACUUCAAAGGGAAAACUCAAUCCAUUACAAGAGAGUAGAGGGGGAGAAACAUCAUAAAAUCCAACUAUAAUAGCAAAGCCCGCGAUACAUCAAGAUCGUAUCACCUCAAGAACACGAGAGAGAGAGAGAGAGAGAGAUCAAACACAUAGCUACUGGUACAUACCCUCAGCCCCAAGGGAGAACUACUCCCUCCUCGCCAUGGAGAGCGCCGAGAUGAUGAAGAUGGCCAUCGGAGAGGGAUUCCUCCCUCCGGAAGGGUGCCGAAACGGGUCUAGAUUGGUUUUCGGUGGCUACGGAGGCUUCUGGCGGCGGAACUCCCGAUCUAUUGUGCUCCUCGAUGGUUUUAGGGUAUAUUGGUAUAUAUAGGAGGAAGAAAUACAUCAGGGGGGGCACGAGGGGCCCACGAGGGUGGAGGGCGCGCCCAGGGGGUGGGCGCGCACCCUGCCUCGUGCCUUCCUCAUUGCUUCCCUUACGUACACCCCAAGUCUUCUGGAUUGCUUCUGUUCCAAAAAUAAGUUCCGUGAAGUUUCAGGUCAAUUGGACUCCGUUUGAUUUUCCUUUUCUGCGAUACUCUAAAACAAGGAAAAAACCAAAACUAGCACUGGGCUCUGGGUUAAUAGGUUAGUCCCAAAAAUAAUAUAAAAGUGCAUAAUAAAGCCCAUAAACAUCCAAAACAGAUAAUAUAAUAGCAUGAAACAAUCAAAAAUUAUAGAUACCUUGGAGACGUAUCAGCAUCCCCAAGCUUAAUUCCUGCUCGUCCUCGAGUAGGUAAAUGAUAAAAACAGAAUUUUUGAUGUGGAAUGCUACCUAACAUAUUUCUCUAAGUAAUUCUCUUCAUUUUGGUAUGAAUGUUCAGAUCCAUAAGAUUCAAGACAAAAGUUUAAUAUUGACAUAAAAACAAUAAUACUUCAAGCAUACUAACUAAGCAAUCAUGUCUUCUCAAAAUAACAUGGCUAAAGAAAGCUAUCCCUACAAAAUCAUAUAGUCUGGCUAUGCUCCAUCUUCACCACACAAAGUAUUUAAAUCAUGCACAACCCCGAUGACAAGCCAAGCAAUUGUUUCAUACUUUUGAUGUUCUCAAACUUUUUCAAUCUUCACGCAAUACAUGAACGUGAGCCAUGGACAUAGCACUAUAGGUGGAAUAGAAUGGUGGUUGUGGAGAAGACAAAAAGGAGAAGAUAGUCUCACAUCAACUAGGCGUAUCAACGGGCUAUGGAGAUGCCCAUUAAUAGAUAUCAAUGUGAGUGAGUAGGGAUUGCCAUGCAACAGAUGCACUAGAGCUAUAAAUGUAUAAAAGCUCAACAAAAGAAACUAAGUGGGUGUGCAUCCAACUUGUUUGCUCACGAAGACCUAGGGCACUUGAGGAGGCCCAUUGUUGGAAUAUACAAGCCACGUUCUAUAAUGAAAAUUUCCCACUAGUAUAUGAAAGUGAUAUCAUAGGAGACUCUCUGUCAUGAAGAUCAUGGUGCUACUUUGAAGCACAAGUGUGGAAAAAGGAUAGUAGCAUUACCCUUUUUUUAUUUGGCCUUUCUUUUCUUUCUUUUUUUGGCCUUUCUCUUUUUUUGCCUUUUUUGGGACAAUGCUCUAUUAAUGAUGAUCAUCACACUUCUAUUUAUUUACAACUUCAAAGAUUACAACUCGAUACUAGAACAAAGUAUGACUCUAUAUGAAUGCCUCCGGCGGUGUACCAGGAUAGCAAUGAUGCAUGAGUGACAUGUAUGAAAGAAUUAUGAAUGGUGGCUUUGCCACAAAUACAAUGUCAACUACAUGAUCAUGCAAAGCAAUAUGACAAUUAUGGAGCAUACCAUAGUAAAUGGAACGGUGGAAAGUUGCAUGGCAAUAUAUCUCGGAAUGGCUAUGGAAAUGCCAUGAUAGGUAGGUAUGGUGGCUGUUUUGAGGAAGGUAAAUGGUGGGUUUAUGGUACCAGCGAAAGUUGCGCGGUACUAGAGAGGCUAGCAAUGGUGGAAGGGUGAGAGUGCGUAUAAUCCAUGGACUCAACAUUAGUCAUAAAGAACUCACAUACUUAUAGCAAAAAUCUAUUAGUUAUCGAAUAAAGUACUAUGCACAUGCUCCUAGGGGGAUAGAUUGGUAGGAAAAGACCAUCGCUCGUCCCUGACCGCCACUCAUAAGGAAGACAAUCAAUAAAUAAAUCAUGCUCCGACUUCGUCACAUAACGGUUCAUCAUGCGUGCAUUCUACGGGAAUCACAAACUUCAACACAAGUAUUUCUCAAAAUCACAACUACUCGACUAGCAUGACUCUAAUAUCACCAUCUCCAUAUCUCAAAACAAUUAUCAAGUGUCAAACUUCUCUUAGUAUUCAAUGCACUUCAUAUGAAAGUUUUUAUUAUAUCCCUCUUGGAUGCCCAUCAUAUUAGGACUAAAUUCAUAACCAAAGCAAACUACCAUGCUGUUCUAAAAGACUCUCAAAAUAACAUAAGUGAAGCAUGAGAGAUCAAUUAUUUCUAUAAAAUAAAAUAACCAACAUGCUCUAAAAGGAUAUAAGUGAAGCACUAGAGCAACAACAAACUACUCCAAAAGAUAUAAGUGAAGAUCAAUGAGUAGUCGAAUAAUUAUGCAACUAUGUGAAGACUCUCUAACAUUUAAGAAUUUCAGAUCUUGGGAUAUUAUUCAAACAGCAAGCAAAACAAAAUAAAAUGAAAUGACUCUCCUAGCAAAACACAUAUCAUGUGGUGAAUAAAAAUAUAGCUCCAAGUAAAGUUACCGAUGAACGAAGACGAAAGAGGGGAUGCCUUCCGGGGCAUCCCCAAGCUUAGGCUUUUGGUUGUCCUUGAAUAUUACCUUGGGGUGCCUUGGGCAUCCCCAAGCUUAGGCUCUUGCCACUCCUUGUUCCAUAAUCCAUCGAAUCUUUACCCAAAACUUGAAAACUUCACAACACAAAACUUAACAGAAAACUCGUAAGCUCCGUUAGUAUAAGAAAAUAAAUCACCACUUAGGUACUGUUCUGUGAAGGAAAUAUGCCCUAGAGGCAAUAAUAAAGUUAUUAUUUAUUUCCUUAUAUCAUGAUAAAUGUUUAUUAUUCAUGCUAGAAUUGUGUUAAACGGAAACAUGAUACAUGUGUGAAUACAUAGACAAACAGAGUGUCACUAGUAUGCCUCUACUUGACUAGCUCGUUAAUCAAAGAUGGUUAUGUUUCCUAGCCAUAGACAAAGAGUUGUCAUUUGAUUAACGGGAUCACAUCAUUAGGAGAAUGAUGUGAUUGACUUGACCCAUUCCGUUAGCUUAGCAUUUGAUCGUUUAGUUUGUUGAUAUUGCUUUCUUCAUGACUUAUACAUGUUCCUAUGACUAUGAGAUUAUGCAACUCCCGUUUACCGGAGGAACACUUUCUGUGCUAUACUAGUAGAAAAAGGGUCAAACGUGAAGCACAUUAGUGCCGGUUUGUAUUUGAGUCGGCACUAAUGUAUACAUUAGUGCCGGUUCCAACGGCUAGCCGGGCCGCUUUCAUUAGUACCGGUUCGUGGCGAACCUUUAGCACCGGUUCGUGCCACGAACCGGUACUAAUGAGAGUGGUGGCAGGAUGUUGUCAGACUGGGGCCCCUCCAGCCCCUUUAGUACCAGUUCUGGGCACGAACCGGUACUAAAGGUCGUCCUACAUAAACCCUUCGUCCACCCGAGCUAGCUCUGUUCUUCCCCUUUCCCCUCUCCUCUCUGUUCUUCCCCUCUUCCUCUUGAGCUCAUCACACAUUUUUCCCAAAAUUUGUCAAGAUUUGAAGGCCCCCAUCCAUUCAAAUGAUCACAAAGGUUAGCAACUUUGUCCUUUCAUCUCUCAUUGCUAGAUUAGCUCUUGCAAUGCUUUUUAUAGUGAUUAAUUUGUGAGUUUAGUAAUUUGGGAGGAUAUAUAUAUAUAUAUGUGCUAGUAUUUGAUUUAUAUGCAAUUUGAGGUCAAAAAUAACACUUAGUUUGCAUAUGUAGGUGUGGUUUACUUAGUGCCUUCUAAAUCUCCGUCGUAACCACCGUCGAUCGCCCGCACCGUCCCGUCGCCGGCACCACCUUGUGGUGAGCCUCUUGUUCAUGAAAUUUUAUAUAAAAAUUGAUGUUUGUGUGAUUUGGAUAUAUAGUUACUCGUAUAAUUAUCUUACCCCGUACGUCGUUUGUUAUACAUAUAGUGCCAUGGUUUUGAUAUCCGUCCCCGUCGGCCCUCGUCCUUGUUAUGAUUCGGAUGUGGUAUAUAUAUUCUCUUUUAAAACUAGUUGCAUUUCGUGUUUAUGACAAAUUAUGCCCACCAAGUUGAAAUAGAAUUUUUUUUCUAGGAGGUAUGUGAACCGGAAAUUCCAACCGACCCUAUUGUCGAGAGGUUAAAUUUAGUUGAAAGAGAAAACAAGUACUUGAAAGAAAAAUUGAAAAGAAUUGAGGGGGAGAAGAUGGAAUUGGAGUUGCAUGUUGCCGAUGUCGUCGAUGAUCACAAGAUCAAGAUGGAGAAAAUGCGCUUGAAGAUUAGAAAGAUUAGAAAAUAUGCCAUCGAUAGUGAGGCUUGGUAUCAUUAUGCUGUUGGAUCCAUUGUUAACUUAGUUGCGAUCUUGAUCGUAUUUGUUGUUGCAUUUAAAUGCUUUAGGUAGAGAGUUAUUUGUUUGUUGCAUUUAAGUGUUGUAUGAACUUUAUGUAUGAACUUGUAUUAAUUUGGUCUAUUUGGUGUUGUGUAAUGAAGAUGAGCCGGCAAUGGAUGUACGAUGACCGAUGCUCUCCCCAGUUCGUUGAGGGCGUGCAUACUUUUCUGCUUGCGGCUGAGGCAAACAAGCGGGCGGAUGGUUUUAUGCCUUGUCCAUGUGCUCGCUGUAAGAAUGGUCACAAUUACUCUACGUCAAGAACCAUUCACGUCCACCUGUUUAAUUCCGGUUUCAUGCCCCACUAUAAUGUUUGGACCAAGCACGGAGAAAGAGGGGUUAUGAUGGAAGACAAUGAAGAAGAAGAGGACGACGACAGCUAUCCUGGCCAUGGGUUCCCUGAAUACGAUGAUACAACAAUGGGGGAAGAAGCUGAGCCGGUAAUGCGGGAAGAAGCUGAGCCGGCAAUGCGGGAUGAAGCUGAAGAAGAGGCAUCAGAUGAGCCCGUUGAUGAUCUAGGUCGGGCCAUUUCCGAUGCAAAGAGAAAUUGCGCAAGUGAUUUGGAGAAGAAGAAGUUGCAGCGCAUGUUAGAGGAUCACAAAAAAUUGUUGUACCCGAAUUGCGUAGGUGACAAGAAAAAGCUGGGCACCACACUGUAAUUGCUGCAAUGGAAGGCAGAGAAUGGUGUAUCUGACAAGGGAUUUGGAAAGUUGCUGGUAAUGAUAAAUGAUAUGCUUCCAAAGGACAACGAAUUGCCCGAGAGUACGUACGAAGCAAAGAAGGCUGUCUGCCCUCUAGGGUUAGAGGUGCAGAAGAUACAUGCAUGCCCUAAUGAUUGCAUCCUCUAACGCGGUGAGUACGAGGAUUUGAACGCUUGCCCGGUAUGUGGUGCAUUGCGCUAUAAGAUCAGCCGCGAUGACCCUGGUGAUGUCAAGGGCGAGCGCCCCAGGAAGAAGAUUCCUGCCAAGGUGAUGUGGUAUGCUCCUAUAAUACCACGGUGGCACAGAGAGCAUGCCAAGGCGAUGCGAUGGCACAGAGAAGACCGUAAGAAAGACGGAAAGUUGAGAGUACCCACUGAUGGGUCGCAGUGGAGAAAAAUCGAAAGAAAGUACGGGAAGGAGUUUGCAGAUGACGCAAGGAGCGUAUGGUUUGGUCUAAGCACAGAUGGCAUUAAUCCUUUUGGGGAGCAGAGUAGCAACUAUAGCACCUGGCCUGUGACUCUAUGUUUGUAUAAUCUUCCUCCUUGGUUGUGCAUGAAGUGGAAGUUCAUUAUGAUGCCAGUGCUCAUCCAAGGCCUUAAGCAACCCGACAACGACAUUGAUGUGUACCUAAGGCCAUUAGUUGAAGAACUCUUACAAGUGUGGAAUGGAACAGGUGUACGUGCGUGGGAUGAGCACAUGGGGGAAGAAUUUGACCUAAAGGCGUUGCUGUUCGUGACCAUCAAUGAUUGGCCUGCUCUCACUAACCUUUCAGGACAGACAAACAAGGGAUACCGCGCAUGCACUAACAGAAAGUUUGUAAUUUUUUGUACCUAAAGCAAAAAUAUUCACAAAGAAACUCUAAAUACACAAAAAAAACAACUCAAAAAUAAAUAAAGCAAAAAAAAUAAAAAAAGCCCGCCUACUAGGCCAAAGCGGACGACAUAUGACUAGAAACCCAACCUGUUGUUGGGCCAGGAUGCAGGCCCGCAAAGGCCCAGUAGGCCAACAGGGCAGCACAGAACAUGUAGGCCCAGUAGGCCUGCUUUGGAGAGGAGCUCGAGAGAGCUACCGCACGGGGGUUUAUAAACCAGUGUGGUCGCCCCUCGGCUAGCAAGGUGGGACUAAACUUGCCGCACCGCACCUGCACCAGCGCACCCCCUUUAGUACCGGGUCGUGGCACCAACCGGUACUAAAGGGGAGGCCUUUAGUACCGGUUGGAGCCACCACCCGGUACUAAAGGGGGUCGCUUCCCGCCGCUUGGCCUGGCCAAAACAGGCCUUUAGUACCGGUUGGUGGCUCCAACCGGUACUAAAGGCCCCUCCUAUAUAAACAACACUUACGAAAAUUUCAGUUUCUCAUCUGCUUCUUCUCNNNNNNNNNNNNNNNNNNNNNNNNNNNNNNNNNNNNNNNNNNNNNNNNNNNNNNNNNNNNNNNNNNNNNNNNNNNNNNNNNNNNNNNNNNNNNNNNNNNNNNNNNNNNNNNNNNNNNNNNNNNNNNNNNNNNNNNNNNNNNNNNNNNNNNNNNNNNNNNNNNNNNNNNNNNNNNNNNNNNNNNNNNNNNNNNNNNNNNNNNNNNNNNNNNNNNNNNNNNNNNNNNNNNNNNNNNNNNNNNNNNNNNNNNNNNNNNNNNNNNNNNNNNNNNNNNNNNNNNNNNNNNNNNNNNNNNNNNNNNNNNNNNNNNNNNNNNNNNNNNNNNNNNNNNNNNNNNNNNNNNNNNNNNNNNNNNNNNNNNNNNNNNNNNNNNNNNNNNNNNNNNNNNNNNNNNNNNNNNNNNNNNNNNNNNNNNNNNNNNNNNNNNNNNNNNNNNNNNNNNNNNNNNNNNNNNNNNNNNNNNNNNNNNNNNNNNNNNNNNNNNNNNNNNNNNNNNNNNNNNNNNNNNNNNNNNNNNNNNNNNNNNNNNNNNNNNNNNNNNNNNNNNNNNNNNNNNNNNNNNNNNNNNNNNNNNNNNNNNNNNNNNNNNNNNNNNNNNNNNNNNNNNNNNNNNNNNNNNNNNNNNNNNNNNNNNNNNNNNNNNNNNNNNNNNNNNNNNNNNNNNNNNNNNNNNNNNNNNNNNNNAAUAGUUAGAAAUGUUAGAAUUGUUAGAAAUUUUUCUGUUUUUUAGUUAUAGAAAUAGUUAUAAAAAAGUUAGAAUUGUUAGAAAUUUUUCUGUUUUUUAGUUAUAGAAAUAGUUAUAAAAGAGUUAGAAAUUUUUCUUUUUUUAGUUCUAUAAAUAUUAGAAAUGUUAUAGAAAUGUUAGAAAUUUUAGUUAUCAAAAUCCAAUCAUUAAAAAAAUGUUACUUUUUGCGGCAUAUAGCUAGUAUUUGUUCUCGACGAUGCCCAGCCCGCAUCCUCGCCGUCGACCCGUCCGCGACGACGUCCGACUGACCCAUGUCUGGGACUGGGCUCCGCCGGGCUGGCACUGGGAGGUGCUGCCUGGAGGGGCGCGCCGCUUGAUGAGGAACCCGGCCCCGGGUCCCGUCGUCGACCCUGAUCUCAUUUGGUGGCAUUCGCGUGGGCCAGUUUCGGUGCGGAGGGAGCCGGCCCCGCCGGAGGUGGUACGUCGCCGUGUCAGGGAGGAGGACGAGCACGUCCAUCGCUACAUGGUUGCGUUAGAGGGCGGCAGGUUCUCCAAUACCUGGCAGUUUCUUCAGGGAUCUCACUUCAGCUAUGAUCCUAUGAGGGUUCCUUCUCUUUGGGUGUCCACCGCCCGCGCCGCAGGAACCGCGAGUGUCCUAGAUUCUUUUGUAGUAUUCGAUCUUUAUUAGCUACCUAGCCAGUGAUGUACUCGAUAUAUAAUAUUCAAGACGAUGUAUUCGAGAUUAUAUAUUAUUCGAGACGAUGUAUUCGAGAUUAUAUCUAUUAUUCGAGACGAUGUAUUCGAGAUUAUAUCUAUUAUUUGAGAUGAUGUAUUCGAGAUUAUAUCUAUUAUUCGAGACGAUGUAUUCGAGAUUAUAUCUAUUAUUCGAGACGAUGUAAUUUGAAUACUAAAUUGUUUUAUAUUUCUUUUGGCAUAGUUAAAUAAAAGCUAUGGCGGACAAUACCAACAGAGAGGGAGAACAGACCAUGUUUGAUAUAAUACGCGGGCCAGAUGAUAAUCAGAAUGAAGAAGAUUAUGACGGCUCCGAAUUUCUAAACAACACCGGAGAGGGUGAUAUGAUAUUCGAUCGCGACGACCGAAUUGAUGAAGUCAUGAACUACGAUUAUGACAACACCGGAGAGGUAUAUAUAUUUAUAUAAGCAGGCAUCUGGUGAUCAUCAUAUGUUUUAAAUGAGUUGAAGAUAUAUUAACGAAUCGAUCUUUCUUCUUUCAGCCAUCCGGAUCGAGCAAAUCUUCAGGCAACAGGAUGAAACGAGGCCCGAACAAAAAGUUGAAGGAGGGCGUAAAGUAUAAUAUCGAGGCAAUCAAACCUAAUGGCGAACCAUUAGCGCCUAAGAAGAUUGCGGACAAGUUCGUUCGUCAGUGCGCAGUUCUUGUGAAGGACCAACUCCCGAUCUCCCUUCAAGAAUGGAGAAAGCCAGCAAAGCCACGUCCAGAUCUUACUUUUGUCAACGAGAGACAAAAAAGUCUGCUUUGGGAUACUCUCAUGGAACAUUUCACCCUACCAGAUCAUUUCACAGAAGCAGAUGUGCAGAAAGUCAAGGACGCUGCUCUUAGGAAGAUGGCGGUUGCAUUCAAGAACCACAAGAAUCGUGAAUGGGACAAGUACGUCAAGGGAGGAAGGAAGACUCCAGUAUUCGAGGGAACACUAGAGAAUCAAAGUGCUCAUUGGGACAAUUUCGUGAAAUUCAAGGAUUCAGAAUUAUCUAAGGAACGGUCAAGAAUAAACAAGGCCAAUGCCGCAAAAAAGGAUAAGUUCCAUAAGCUGGGGCCAGGUGGCUAUGCGGUGGGAAUGCCUAAGUGGGAUAAGUCUGAGAAAGAGAUGCUGGAUGCAAGUGUCACUCCAAAAACAUUGAGCUGGCCCCCCAGGUGCAGGACUUGGUUCUAUGCGCAUGGGGGGAGUUGGACCCGAAGACAGGCAAAGUUUCCAAGAAGGCAUGUCUGGACGGAGCCAAAGAUAAGCUACUUGUUGCAAUAGAAGAGGCUCGAUCCGGGUUGUUCGAGCCCAACAGAGAGAACGACGAGCUUACGCGUGCCCUAGGAAAUCCUGAACACCCGGGAAGAACGCGAGGCAUGGGCGCUAUUCUGUGGUAUGAGGGGUUUUCAGACUGGAACGCCGACUACAAAACCCGUGCGAGAAAGAAGAUUGCGGAGGAGAAGAAGAGGAAGAUGGAGGAGGAGCAGAAGAAGCUCGACUAUGAAUGCCUUCAAGGCCUAGAAUUAGCGCACGCGGACUUGGCAAUCAAAUUCCAGCGGCAGCAGGAGCAGAUCGACUCACUUAACCAGCAAAGGGGGUCUCAGCAGCUGCAGCAGCUAGCGGAUGAUCCAGCAUUGGAUACCACCGCCCCAUCCAUGCCGAGAAGCAGCGUGGGUUCCGCCCCGUUUGACGCAAUGCUGGAUAGAUACCCCGUGGAUGAUAUCGCGGAGAACACUAACUGCGAGCUACACUUCAAAAUUAAGAACAUAUCCUUGAAGGUGGAUGUCAAGAAGGAUCAUUACUACCAUGAGAAUGCUGUGACCGUUGAGUAUUCUGAACUGUUUCAGUUAUACAAUCAAGACGCACUCGACAAAUCUAUCGUCAGUUGCUAUUGUCUGUAAGUGAUUUCUUUCUGUAAUUUAAGUCUCAAGCUAGUUGUAGUGAUCAUUUUGAUCAAUCAUUACCUGUAAUUAUCCUCACUAUAUUCUUUUCUGUGGUAUUAUGCAGGAUGAAGAUGUAUAAAAUGAGAAAAUGUGGACGCUAUGGCAUUGGGUUCAUUGACCCAAACACCGUUAAUGAAUACACAUGGAAAACAAACAAGCAUUAUGAAAAGAAGGUAGAGGACAGCAUGCUAGAGUUCUUGAAGCACCUCAAAUACAAUGAAGAUAUACUAUUUCCUUACAACUUCCAGUGAGUCACACUUUCUUGUACUACAAAUUCUCUGUUUUUGCCUACUAGCUAGCUACAUGUUUUUGCUUACAUAUGCCCGCUUAAUUAAGACAUGCAAACGUGUGUGCAUGCAGAUUUCACUGGAUCUUGUGUAUCAUUAAGUUGACGCCGGAACAGUUCAAAUACUGGACUCACUACUCAAAGCAAAUAGUGACUAUAACAUCUUGUUUGGGAUAGUCAACAGGUAAUUUCAAUCAUUAUUAACUAUAUAUCUCGGCCUAUUUAGUUCGUCAUUUCAUGAUAUGAACUAUUUAAUAACCCCUUUAUUCAUUUUCUUUGUCGGCGGGCAGGGCUUGGGCAAGGUUCAUCAGUGUCACAGAAGGCGAAUGGAAACGACAGCUGAAAUGGUUUCGACCCAAGGUAAGUAAUUAAGUAGUACUAGCUAGCUAGCUAGCUGCCAUCUCUUUAAUUAUCAUGCUUGAUUAACUAUUAUCUGAUCAAAUUAAAUUCCAUUCUCGUAAUAAAGGCCCUGAAGCAGGCGCAGGGAACUGAUCUGUGUGCAUUCUAUGUUUGUGAGAACAUUCGCAUGAUGGCGUCCGAAAGGAGCAGAUCUCAAAGACGGGAAUGGAUACGCUUGUCAGAACACUAUUCACAAUUUUUACACCAUUAUCGAUAUCUAGUCACACAACUAAUACACAUGCAUAUUGAUCUCCUUCUUAACAGUUCAAAGAGGUGCGGGACAAGCUCCUAAAAAUGGAGCGCGAAGAAGCACUUCAAGAGGAAAUAGCGGGAUUUUUGCUCGACCAGGUCAUAAAUCCGAAGGGAGAAUACUAUUUACCCGCUACCGCCCCCAUCGACCAGGUCAUGAACCACUUCCAAUUGUCAUCGUGCUACGAAGGCACCAAUUAGGCUAAUGCCACUGGCUCCGAAGGCAACAUGCAUAUGUAGGAGAAAUUGUAUAUAGCUAUACAUGUGUGUAUGUGUGAAUUAAUAUGGUGGUUUGUGACACAUUGAUGAUAUAUAUAUGAUUGGUUCUACUAGAAAUUAUAUUUAUAUAUAUAUAUAUAUAUAUAUAUAUAUAUAUAUAUAUAUAUAUAUAUGCAUAAUGUGUACAAUUUGUAGUAUCGUAAAAUACCAGCAAACGAAAAAGAAUUAAAAUGGAAAACACAAAAUUAAAUGAAAAAUAAAUCAUAAAACCAAAAAACCCCCAAACAUUUUAGUACCGGUUGGUGUUACCAACCGGUACUAAAUGGCUCCUGGCCCCCGGAGCUGGCUCGUGGCACGUGGUUGCCCUUUAGCACCGGUUCGUGCUGAACGGUACUAAAGGGGGGGCCUUUAGUGACCACACUUUACUGUCGGUUAUGGAACCGGCACUAAAGGGCCUUACGAACCGGUGCUAUUGCUCGGUUCUGCACUAGUGCUACCAAACGUCACAACGUAACUGGGUGAUUAUAAAGGUGCUCUACAGGUGUCUCCGAAGGUACUUGUUGGGUUGGAUGACAUAUUAUAUGUGGAUGACAUAUUGUUGAUUGGAAAUGAUAUAGAAUUUCUGGAUAGCAUAAAAGGAUAUUUGAAUAAGAGUUUUUCAAUGAAGGACCUCGGUGAAGCUGCUUAUAUAUUGGGCAUCAAGAUCUAUAGAGAUAGAUCAAGACGCUUAAUUGGACUUUCACAAAGCACAUACCUUGACAAAGUUUUGAAGAAGUUCAAAAUGGAUCAAGCAAAGAAAGGGUUCUUGCCUGUGUUACAAGGUGUGAAGUUGAGUAAGACUUAAUGCCCGACCACUGCAGAAGAUUGAGAGAAGAUGAAAGAUGUUCCCUAUGCUUCAACCAUAGGCUCUAUCAUGUAUGCAAUGCUGUGUACCAGACCUGAUGUGUGCCUUGCUAUAAGUUUAGCAGGGAGGUACCAAAGUAAUCCAAGAGUGGAUCAUUGGACAGCGGUCAAGAACAUCCUAAAAUACCUGAAAAGGACUAAGGAUAUGUUUCUCAUUUAUGGAGGUGACAAAGAGCUAGUCGUAAAUGGUUACGUCGAUGCAAACUUUGACACUGAUUCGGACGAUUCUAAAUCACAAACGGGAUACAUGUUUACAUUGAAUGGUGGAGCUGUCAGUUGGUGCAGUUCCAAACAAAGCAUUGUGGCGGGAUCUACGUGUGAAGCGGAGUACAUAGCUGCUUCGGAAGCAGCAAAUGAAGGAGUUCAUAUCCGAUCUAGGUGUCAUACCUAGUGCAUCGGGUUCAAUGAAAAUCUUUUGUGACAAUACUGGUGCAAUUGCCUUGGCAAAGGAAUCCAGAUUUCACAAGAGAACCAAGCACAUCAAAAGACGCUUCAACUCCAUCCGGGAUCAAGUCCAGGUGGGAGACAUAGAGAUUUGCAAGAUACAUACGGAUUUGAAUGUUGCAGACAUGUUGACUAAACCUCUUCCAUGAGCAGAACAUGAUCAGCGCCAAGACUCCAUGGGUGUUAGAAUCAUUACUGUGUAAUCUAGAUUAUUGACUCUAGUGCAAGUGGGAGACUGAAGGAAAUAUGCCCUAGAGGCAAUAAUAAAGUUAUAAUUUAUUUCCUUAUAUCAUGAUAAAUUUUUAUUAUUCAUGCUAGAAUUAUAUUAAACGGAAACAUGAUACAUGUGUGAAUACAUAGACAAACAGAGUGUCACUAGUAUGCCUCUACUUGACUAGCUCGUUAAUCAAAGAUGGUUAUGUUUCCUAGCCAUAGACAAAGAGUUGUCAUUUGAUUAACGGGAUCACAUCAUUAGGAGAAUGAUGUGAUUGACUUGACCCAUUCCGUUAGCUUAGCAUUUGAUAGUUUAGUUUGUUGAUAUUGCUUUCUUCAUGACUUAUACAUAUUCCUAUGACUAUGAGAUUAUGCAACUCCCGUUUACCGGAGGAACACUGUGUGCUACAAAAUGUCACAACGUAACUGGGUGAUUAUAAAGGUGCUCUAUAGGUGUCUCCGAAGGUACUUGUUGGGUUGGCGUAUUUCAAGAUUAGGAUUUGUCACUCCGAUUGUCGGAGAGGUAUCUCUGGGCCCACUCGGUAAUACACAUCACUUAAGCCUUGCAAGCAUUGCAACUAAUGAGUUAGUUGCGGGAUGAUGUGUUACCGAACGAGUAAAGAGACUUGCCGGUAACGAGAUUGAACUAGGUAUUGAGAUACCGAUGAUCGAAUCUCGGGCAAGUAACAUACCGAUGAAAAAGGGAACAACAUAUGUUGUUAUGCGGUUCGACCGAUAAAGAUCUUCGUAGAAUAUGUAGGAGCCAAUAUGGGCAUCCAGGUUCCUCUAUUGGUUAUUGACCAGAGAAAUGUCUCGGUCAUGUCUACAUAGUUCUCGAACCCGUAGGGUCCGCACGCUUAACGUUCGUUGACGAUAUAGUAUUUAUGAGUUAUGUAUGUUGGUAACCGAAUGUUGUUCGGAGUUCCGGAUAAGAUCACGGACAUGACAAGGAACUCCGGAAUGGUCCGGAGAUAAAGUUCGAUAUAUGGGAUAAUAGUGUUUGGUCUUCAGAAGGGUUCUGGAAUUCACCGGAAGUGGUUCCGGAUGUUUCCCUAAAUGUUUGGGUACGAGAACACUUUAUUUGGGCCAAAGGGGAAAGCCCACAAGGUUUUUGGAAAGCGCAAAAGGAAGUUUUGCGGAGUCCAGGGGCCAGACGCCAGGGUCCCUGGUGUCUGGGUCCAGACAUCGGGAACCCUGGCAUAUGGCCCUGUAGUCCGAAAAGGACUCUUGCCUUUCGGGUGAAACCGACUUUGUGGAGGCUUUUACUCCAAGUUUCGACCCCAAGGCUCAACAUAUAAAUACAGGGGCAGGGCUAGCACCCAAGACACAUCAAGAAACACCAAGCCGUGUGCCGGCUACCCCGUCCCCUCUAGUUUAUCCUCCAUCAUAGUUUUCGUAGUGCUUAAGUGAAGCCCUGCGGAGAUUGUUCUUCACCAACACUGUCACCACGCCGUCGUGCUGCCGGAACCCAUCUACUACUUCGCCCCUCUUGUUGGAUCGAGAAGGCGAGGACGUCAUCGAGCUGAACGUGUGCUGAACGCGGAGGUGUCGUACGUUCGGUACUUGAUCGGGACGGAUCGUGAAGGUGUACGACUACAUCAACCGCGUUGAUAAACGCUUCCUCUUACGGUCUACGAAGUAGACAACACUCUCCCCUCUCGUUGCUAUGCAUCACCAUGAUCCUGCGUGUGCGUAGGAAUUUUUUUGAAAUUACUACAUUCUCCAACAUUGUGAACUCAUUCUAAAUUCAUAUUGGUGUAAUAUCUACUGUAUUCCAACUCAUCUAUGGUUCAUACUCUCCGAUACUACUCAUAGAUUCAUCAAAAUAAGCAAACAACACAUAGAAAACAUAAUCUGUCAAAAACAGAACAGUCUGUAGUAAUCUGGAUCAAACUUAUACUUCUGGAACCCCAAAAAUUCUAAAAUAAAUUGUUGAACGUGAGGAAUUUAUCUAUUAAUCAUCUUCAAAAAGAAUUAACUAAAUAUCACUCUCCAAUAAAAAAUGGCAGAUAAUCUCGUGAGCGCUAAAAUUUCUGUUUUUUAUAGCAAGAUCUCAAAGACUUUCCCCAAGUCUUCCCAAAGGUUAUACUUGGCACAAACACUAAUUAAAAGUAUAAAACCACAUCUAAACAGAGGCUAGAUGAAUUAUUUAUUACUAAACAGGAAAAAAAGCAAGGAGCCAAAAUAAAAUCGGGUUGCCUCCCAACAAGCGCUAUCGUUUAACGCUCCUAGCUGGGCAUGAUGAUUUCAAUGAAUCUCACAUAAAAGAUAAGAAUUGAAAUAUAAAGAGAGCAUCUUGAAGAAUAUGACUAGCACAUUUCAGUCUAACCCACUUCCUAUGCAUAGUGAUUUUGUGAGCAAACAACUUGUGGGAACAAGAAUCAACUUGCAUAGGAAGGUAAAACAAGCAUAACUUCAAAACGUUAAGCACAUAGAGAGGAAACUUGAUACUAUUGCAAUUCCUACAAACACAUGUUCCUCCCUCAUAAUAAUUUUCAGUAGCAUCAUGAAUGAAUUCAACAAUAUAACCAUCACAUAAAACAUUCUUUUCAUGAUCUAGAAGCAUAGAAUUUUUAUUACUCUCCACAUAAGCAAAUUUCUUCUCAUGAAUAGUAGUGGGAGCAAACUCAACAAGAUAAUUAUCAUGUGAGGCAUAAUACAAUUGAAAACUAAAAUCAUGAUGACAAGUUUCAUGGAUAUCAUUAUUCUUUAUAGCAUACAAGUCAUCACAAUAAUCAUCAUAGAUAGCAAUUUUGUUCUCAUAAUCAAUUGGAACCUCUUCUGAAAUAGUGGAUUCAUCAUCAAAUAAAGUCAUGACCUCUCCAAAUCCACUUUCAUCAAUAUAAUCAUCAUAAAUAGGAGGCAUGAUUUCAUCAUAAUAAAUUUUCUCAUCAAAACUUGGGGGACAAAAAAUAUCAUCUUCAUCAAACAUAGCUUCCCCAAGCUUCUGUCUUUGCAUAUCAUUAGCAUCAUGCAUAUUCAAGGAAUUCAUACUAACAACAUUGCAAUCAUGCUCAUCAUUCAAAUAUUUAGUGCCAAACAUUUUAAUGCAUUCUUCUUCUAACACUUAGGCACAAUUUUCCUUUCCAUCAUACUCACGAAAGAUAUUAAAAAGAUGAAGCGUAUGAGGUAAACUCAGUUCCAUUUUUUUAUAGUUUUCUUUUAUAAACUAAACUAGUGAUAAAACAAGAAACAAAAAGAUUCGAUUGAAAGAUCUAAAGAUGUACCUUCAAGCGCUAACCUUCCCGGCAACGGCGCUAGAAAAGAGCUUGAUGUCUACUACACAAUCUUCUUCUUGUAGACGUUGUUGGGCCUCCAAGUGCAGAGUUUGUAGGACAGUAGCAAAUUUCGCUCAAAUGGAUGACCUAAGGUUUAUCAAUUCGUAGGAGGCGUAGGAUGAAUAUGGUCUCUCUCAAGCAACCCUGCAACCAAAUAAUGAAGAGUCUCUUGUGUCCCCAACACACCCAAUACAAUGGUAAAUUGUAUAGGUGCACUAGUUCGGCGAAGAGAUGGUGAUACAGGUGCAAUAUGGAUAGUAGAUAAUGGUUUUUGUAAUCUGAAAAUAUAAAAACAGCAAGGUAACGAAUGAUAAAAGUGAGCGUAAACGGUAUUGCAAUGCGUUGAAACAAGGCCUAGGGUUCAUACUUUUACUAGUGCAAAUUCCCUCAACAAUAAUAACAUAAUUGGAUCAUAUAACUAUCCCUCAACAUGCAACAAAGAGUCACUCCCAGGUCACUAAUAGCGGAGAACAAACGAAAAGAUUAUGGUAGGGUACGAAACCACCUCAAAGCUAUCCUUUCUGAUCGAUCUAUUCAAGAGUCCGUAGUAAAAUAAUAUGAAGCUAUUCUUUCUGUUCAAUCUAUCAUAGAGUUCGUACUAGAAUAACACCUUAAGACACAAAUCAACCAAAACCCUAAUGUCACCUAGAUACUCCAAUGUCACUCAAGUAUUCGUGGGUAUGAUUAUACGAUAUUGCAUCACACAAUCUCAGAUUCAUCUAUUCAAACCAACACAAAGUACUUCAAAGAGUGCCCCAAAGUUUCUACCGGAGAGUCAAGACGAAAACAUGUGCCAAACCCUAUGCAUAGGUUCAUGGGCGGAACCCGCAAGUUGAUCACCAAAACAUACAUCAAGUGGAUCACAUGAUAUCCCAUUGUCACCACAGAUAAGCACGUGCAAGACAUACAUCAAGUCUUCUCAAAUCCUUAAAGACUCAAUCCGAUAAGAUAACUUUAAAGGGAAAACUCAAUCCAUUACAAGAGAGUAGAGGGGGAAAAACAUCAUAAGAUCCAACUAUAAUAGCAAAGCUCGCGAUACAUCAAGAUCGUAUCACCUCAAGAACACGAGAGAGAGAGAGAGAGAGAGAGAUCAAACACAUAGCUACUGGUACAUACCCUCAGCCCCGAGGGAGAACUACUCCCUCCUCGUCAUGGAGAGCGCCGGGACGAUGAAGAUGGCCACCAGAGAGGGAUUCCCCCCUCCGGCAGGGUGCCGGAACGGGUCUAGAUUGGUUUUUGGUGGCUACGGAGGCUUCUGGCGGCGGAACUCCCGAUCUAUUGUGCUCCUCGAUGAUUUUAGGGUAUAUUGGUAUAUAUAAGAGGAAGAAAUACGUCAGGGGGGCCACGAGGGUGGAGGGCGCGCCCAGGGGGGUGGGCGCGCCCCCCUGCCUCGUGCCUUCCUCGCUGCUUCCCUUACGUACACCCCAAAUCUUCUGGAUUGCUUCCGUUCCAAAAAUAAGUUCCGUGAAGUUUCAGGUCAAUUGGACUCCGUUUGAUUUUCCUUUUCUGUGAUACUCUAAAACAAGGGAAAAAACAGAAACUGGCACUGGGCUCUGGGUUAAUAGAUUAGUUUCAAAAAUAAUAUAAAAGUGCAUAAUAAAGCCCAUAAACAUCCAAAACAGAUAAUAUAAUAGUAUGGAACAAUCAAAAAUUAUAAAUAUGUUGGAGACGUAUCACGGGCCAUGGUCCCGAGUUGACAAAGCACACGUGGUGCAAGGUGGUGGAGGAGCAAGAGGAGAAAGCCCGUACACUACAGUGUUGCACUGCCGCACUAUUUAUAUUUGCUUGGCCGAUGAGUCAUGGUUAAUUAAAAGUUCUUAUGAUGAAACAUAACAUGUUUACAGAAUCUGGAUCAAGUAGAGAGAUCUAUUAAAAGUUGUUGUGUUAAGCAUUUCCCACUGCAACAUGAGCAUGAACAACUAUGGUCUUGUUCAUGUGAUAGACACAAGGAAGGAUGAUGUCGCUUCUGCUUUCACUCUGUCUCCUUGUAUAGUUGUAGAGUCAUGGUUGAAUCUUAGUAGGUGAUCUAUUGAUGCUUGUAGGAGUUUAUUUGGAUGAAGUGUAGAUCUUGCAUUUGACUAUAGUGUUUUUUUUCCAACAAAGAUCGUGCAUUUAUUUACGCUUAACAAAUAUGUGACACGCAUGAACAACUAACAUCAAAAGCGGAUUGUUUGGAUUUGACAACGCGUACCUAAGCUGCAAGAGGACCGUUGGUCAUGCUACUCUGAGAGAGCUAUAGUUAACAUUCUUCAAGUCCACAUACCUAGAUUUCACCAAUACCUUUCUUGCUCUUUUCCCUGACGGACGGUCAUUAAACGAUGCACCAACUGGAUCUAGCUAAUCGACUUAUCACCGAUUAGCGACUCUUGUUAUUCGCCGAGCUAUGUCGUGUAGCGAUUCUUGUUAUUCGCCGAUCAUCGGUAGUUCCUGGUGUCUCAUAUGCCUACACUCAUCAUUUCAAAUCCCUAGUGUGUAGCUAUCACCAGUAGUUCCUUGUGCCUCAAAUCCGUGGUGUGCAUACAUCAAACAAAUAAUGCACGAAAUGUAAAUGAAUAGGUCCACUGUAAGGAAAUGAGAUGAUGAACAAUAUGUUUAUGCAUAGCUUAGGGAAGCCUCAUUUCUUAUAGAAGACUCGGGUACAUGGUAGUGGUGGUGACAUGAAGUCACUGGUUCUUUGUUUGGUAAAUAGCUAAGAUUUCCUUGGUAGGUAAAAGCCUAUGAGAUAUUAUUAAAACAAAGGCUUGAUUUGCUGUGCUCUUUUCUCCUUUAUACAAACGAAACGAUGGAUUUUUCGAGCUCGUUUUGUCCUUGGGGUAGGUAAGAGCAUGUGAGAUCUAAAAACAAAAGAUGAAUUUGUUACGGACGGUUCUCCUCGGUAGGCUAGAGACAGAGAGAACUUUAAAAAUAACUCAAUUAAAUUUCCAGGCCCGCGGCAAGUGGACGUCCGAAAUGGUGCAAGCUUUCCAGGGCAGCGGCACCAUGACCUGCAGCGCCCUCUUCUCCGGGUGCCUGUUGCCGGAGUCUGGUGGAUGUAAACUGUAAAAACUGGAAGCAUAACGUAAACUGCGGUGACACCCACACCAGAAAUAAACUGCAUAGCCUUCUGCUGUUGCAUAGCAACAUUCAUUAUUAUUAUGUAACUGGUACAACAAACCAAUGCUUGUAAACAAAGAAGCAGCGGUACGGUACAGACACAACCGCGACCUGCGCAGACAUCUAUCACCUGCGAGAUCGCGAUAACUGAGAUGAUGGAACUCAACACAAAGACCGGCUACAAAUAACUUAGGACAGACACCUCAUGCCCACAUCGACUCUAAUGCACCUCCUUCCUUGCUGGGGAGCCAAACCCUAUCUAUCUUCCAUGGAUGUCACAUUCGGCAACUUGGUCUGGGGGCACCGACCUUUCGGAGUCUGCAUCAGGGUCCAGGCGGCACCCGGGUAGCGGUAACAUCGGCUCGCCUCUG